CCCCACUGCUAUCGAGGUGGGACUAAGCCAUGCUAGUCGAACGAACCUUAUGUUAGUGGCACACUGCUCAGUAACACGUAGCUCACCUACCCUUAGGACGAGGACAACCCCGAGAAAUUGGGGCUAAUCCGCGAUAGGUGUGACGUCCUGGAAUGGUAUCACGCCCAAAGGUGUUCGCACGCCUAAGGAUGGGGCUGCGGCCGAUCAGGCAGUUGGUGAGGUAACGGCUCACCAAACCUUUGACCGGUACGGGCCAUGAGAGUGGUAGCCCGGAGAUGGACACUGAGACAAGGGUCCAGGCCCUACGGGGCGCAGCAGGCGCGAAACCUCCUCAAUGCACACACGUGCGAAGGGGUUACCUCGAGUGCCGCCUGAAGAAGGCGGCUUUUCCGUGGUCUAAAAAGCCUAGGGAAUAAGAGGGGGGCAAGACUGGUGUCAGCCGCCGCGGUAACACCAGCCCCUCGAGUGGUGGGGAUGAUUAUUUGGCCUAAAGCGUCCGUAGCCGGCCGGAUAAGUCUCUCGUUAAAUCCAGCGUCUCAAGCGUUGGACUGCGGGAGAUACUGUCUGGCUAGAGAGUGGGAGAGGUAUACGGUAUUCUGGGGGUAGGGGCGAAAUCCAUUGAUCCCCGGAGGACCACCAGUGGCGAAGGCUGUAUACUAGAACACGUCUGACGGUCAGGGACGAAAGCUGGGGUAGCGAACCGGAUUAGAUACCCGGGUAGUCCCAGCCGUAAACGAUGCACGCUAGGUGUUGGGUUGGCCACGUGCCGCCCCAGUGCCGCAGGGAAGCCAUUAAGCGUGCCGCCUGGGGAGUACGGCCGCAAGGCUGAAAC
RNAcentral lists this ribosomal RNA (832 nucleotides) under uncultured archaeon. RNAcentral's name for it is "bacterial SSU rRNA". It matches the Rfam family "Archaeal small subunit ribosomal RNA", at positions 21 to 855 of the family's 1478-position model. The record is from RNAcentral.